Molecule: long non-coding RNA, 1004 nt
Organism: Pieris rapae (cabbage white)
Lineage: Eukaryota; Metazoa; Arthropoda; Insecta; Lepidoptera; Pieridae
Exons: 3
Source: RefSeq, a predicted model, not a curated record
CAAAAAAAGUAUUUUCUUGUAUUAAAUAUUUUAUUUAUUAAUAUUUUUACCGAGGCCAUUGCGGCAAAGUGUCCUUACGGAGAUGUGGUUCUUUGUGGAAGUGACGGAUUCACUUACAAUAAUCUUUGUGAUUUUCAAACGGUCCAAUCUUUCCGACCAAACCUAGAACUGGAAUAUUUAGGUGCUUGCCAAAUAGAAGGUUGCUUAUUGAAAUCUUAUAUAAACCAAUUAGAUAAAAGUUACUUAAGGAACAGUAAACAAAACGUCGGUAAAGCACUAAAGACAUCCAAACUAGUAUUAGAAAUUUUAUCACAUAUCGUAGAUGCACAAAGUAAAUUGAGUGGCUUCCACAGAAUUGGUAACCAUAAGAUACGAUAAUAAUGCAUGCUGAACAAGAUUCUCAUCAGAACUAACGCAUUGCAAUUCUUAAAAAACUAUUUAAUAAUAUUUAAAGAAAAUUUAUUUUUAGCCAAUGUUUACCUUCCCCUGGUAUCUUAAUAUAUAUAGCUGAUUUUACUGAAACAAAACACUAGUAAAAUGCGACAAAAUAAUCGGUUUAUUUGUUGUCUGUGACCGUUGACAUUGAAGUAAAAUGUUAGAGAUUGAAAAAUAUUAAGUUCUGUUAUCAAUUGGUAUUUUACUUUUAAUCGUACUAUGUAUGUUAAAAAUAACUAAUCAAUCUCACUUAGUACCCAUUACAUAUCUACCACAAUAAAAUGAAUACCUGUAAAAAUUAACGUAUUUUUCAAUUUAACAAAAUUAUAUGCUAGUAAUGUUACCGUGACAAUGAUUAAACUGGCAAUUGAUAAAAAUAUUUCAAAUAAAUUUAACGUAGAUAUAACUAAAACUUAAUUUAUAGCAAGGAGUAGCAUUUCUAAAAAAAAUUGUCUCCUCAAUUACCAAUGUACUAUUCUGACAUUCAUUAAAUUGUGGCCUAUUGUUUCGAAGGAUUUUAAACGUGGAUGGUAUGGAAGAUGAGAUAAUUAAAUUUUAUUUUAAACUAC